AUGCGCGUGGGAAAUGGUUCCAAAGUCGAUGUGAUCGCCGUCGGCACGCUACCUCUACAUCUACCUUUGGGAUUAGUUUUAGACAUGAAUAAUUGUUAUUUGGUGCCGGCGUUAAGCAUGAACAUUAUAUCUGGAUCUUGUUUGAUGCGAGACGGUUAUUCAUUUAAAUCAGAGAAUAAUGGUUGUUAUAUUUAUAUGAGUAAUAUCUUUUAUGGUCAUGCACCCUUGAUGAGUGGUCUAUUUUUAUUGAAUCUCGAUAGUAGUGUUACACAUAUUCAUAGUAUUGAAGCCAAAAGAUAUAAGUUUAAUAAUGAUAUUUCAACUUAUUUGUGGCACUGCUGUUUAGGUCAUAUUGGUGUAAAGCGCAUGAAGAAACUCCAUGCUGAUGGGCUUUGGAAAUCAUUUGAUUAUGAAUCACUUGAUGCUUGCGAACCAUGCCUCAUGGGCAAGAUGACUAAGACUCCGUUCUCCGGAACAAUGGGGCGAGCAACAGACUUGUUGGAAAUAAUACAUACUGAUGUAUGCGGUCCGACGAGUGUUGAGGCUCGCGGCGGAUAUCGUUAUUUUCUGACCUUCACAGAUGAUUUGAGAAGAUAUGGGUAUAUCUACUUGAUGAAACAUAAGUCUGAAACAUUUGAAAAGUUCAAAGAAUUUUAG
Molecule: ribosomal RNA, 657 nt
Filed under: Triticum aestivum (bread wheat)
Lineage: Eukaryota; Viridiplantae; Streptophyta; Magnoliopsida; Poales; Poaceae
Description: partial small subunit ribosomal RNA
Source: RNAcentral